CACUCCUUUUUCCUACCCCGGCGCCACCCACCGGUAUUCCCAUCCUGCGCUCGGGCCCUGAAAAGAACCAUCAGCCCCCAAAGGAGCCGCCGGACGAACAUAGCAAGGCAAAACCGCCGCUAAGACGAGCCCCUGAGCGCUUCAGCCGCCAUCUUGCCAGUAGCCUCCCUCGGUUGCUGUGGAAACGACUGGGAGGAACUACCUCACGUUGCUUGCUCUAAAGAAUAAAAGGCCUGCCACCUUUCCAAAAACAAGCCCAAAGUGCUUCACUACAUUGACAGCAAAGGCUAAGACUUGCUGACAGCACCUCAGCAGGUUAAGAAUAAGUUUCUCAAGGAGCAGAAGAGCCUAACAACGACUAUAAAAAAACUGGAACACCAGAAGCUGAGCAGACUGAGACAACUGGAGGAGGAGAAAAAGCAAUUUGGUCUGCUCAUGAAAAAGAAGUUAGCCCCCAGGGUCACCAUCAGGUCAGGGUCAUCCAUUGCCAUGGAAAGAGACACCCAAAGGACAUUCUCCAGCAUCCAGUUUUCUUCUCUGGCUUCAAGUAAGAGCAGCUGGAAGAGCCUAGGCAGCAAGCCCAGCACCAAACCAGGAGCUGGCUUCUUUUCAACCAUCAGCAGAGAGUUUCCUUCAACUCAUACUCCAAACCUUUGCAAAGCCUCCAGUCCUUAUUUCCCAGACACUGUGCCAGCAGCCACCAUAUACAAAUGCCCACACAGCAAGAAGCGUCUAAAAAGAAGCGAAGGCUACAUGCCUCUUCUUGGUCACACAAUGCUGUCCACAAACUUUCACGGAACCAUUGGCAAGAGGAAUUAAUGUUUAAAACUGAAAGGUAACCAGAUGCAUUCUGUCUCCAUUGGCAAGAUAGCACUUAGUCCCAUUUGAAAGGUGGUUUAGGCUUCAAUCCUGUGCAAUGGGACUUCCUUUUGAAGGGGCAUGUACAGGAUUGCAGUCCGUUUCAUGCAUAAUUCUGUUAAUAACAUGCAAAUUUAGUGAGAGGUCGUGAGUAAUAAGGGAAAGGAGGAGAUGCUCCCAUUACGACUGAAUAAUGUAGGCUUGUAAACAGUUACUGGCCUGGUUGCAGGUGGGUAGUAAGAAUUGCUUGCUGGAAGAAUAUUGUAUAUUAAAAAUAAUUCAGUUCCUCAACCCUUUUCUUUUCAGGCAUUUAAUAGAUUUCAAACAACUAACACACAUGUAUGCAUGUUAGAAACUUCAGCCACUGAUGUUAGAGUCUAGUUCAGAGCUGUUUUUUCAGAGUGUGACUCCAGUAGCUUCUGGUCCACUCUUGAAUCAAUUCAAAGUGCUCAGACGGGUAGCCUGGCUGCUGCUCACCUCAGCUUGACUCAGAAAGGAGCCAAGUUGCUGUCCAAAAUAUUGGAAAUGCGGCUAUUUUUCCAGGCCAACACAUAAUUCGUACAUCACCCAGUCUGCAGUGGCUAGUGCUCACUUUGGGAGCCUCCUUUGCUGAAUAGAUUAACCUCCAGUUUUAUUUCAUUUUCACAGACUUCUAGUGUGUUUCUAGAUGCAAUUCAAAGAGCCAAUAUCUUACCUAUAAAACCUUAAAUGAUUUGGGACCAGGAUGCUUGAAGGACCACCUUCUCCCUGGUAGUCCUGACUACCCACUGCAUUCAGUGUUGGAGGCUCUGCUAUGCCACCACUUUCAAAAGCACAACUGGUUGGAACAUGAGAAGAGCCCUUUUCUAUGGAGGCAUCUGACUUGUGGGCUUCCCUCACUAGAGGUUUGGUUGGUCCCCUCUCUUUUAAGCUUCCUAGCAAGCCAAGACUUUUGUUUUGUUUCAGUGACCUUUUAAUGUAGGUUAAAGUCCCAUCUCUGUUUUUAUGCUGAAUUGUUUCAUACUGCUCCUGGUUUUACUAUGCAAUGGUAAUAUUUUGAACUUUUAAAAAUUGUGACUUAUGUAUUAUUAUCUUCUUUGUAAGCAGAUUUGAGUUUCUAUUAUAUAUUUUGGAAAGUUGUUUGUUCAUUAUAUAUUUGGAUACCUCUUAAGAUGUCAUAACCAAAUUUUGCAUGAUGGUUCCGAAGAUCAAGGAGGAAAUUUUGAUCUGUUUUUGAUCUACAGUUGAAUCAAGAUGGGGGACUAAAUCUUUCAAAACUGCACUGAUUUUGUUUGUUUGCUAGAAUUCGAAAGCAACACCAGGUACAAGGCUGCUAGUACUGUAUUUUGUAAAGAAAAGUGGAAUUUAAAUAAAUAACUAUGUUGUUAGUAGGCCAGGGGAUUGUGCACUUGCUCCUACCCAUCUUUUGCACAUAAAUCCAACACAUUGGAUUUUUAUGUCUGUUCACCAGCUAUGGUUAAGAGAAUGCCAACCCUGAGUCAGGGUGCUCCUAAGCUCCAAUGCAGAGCUUUAGAAGAGCCCUUAGCUAGGAUUAGCACAAGUCAGACACAGUGUUGAACCACAGUACACAGGAUGGGAGACAAUCACAUCAGAGGACCUUCCCCAUGUGCCUCAUCCAAGAGAGGUGUGGCCACACGGGAAAAGGCCUUUUCAGUGGUGGCCCCCAAGGAAACACAUCUGGCACCAUCGUUACCAGUUUUUAGGCACCAGGCAAAGGCCUUUUUAUUCACUCAGGCUUUUGGUAAGUAAGCUGCCCUCUACAGUGGUGCCCAUCUUUUAGUGGGUAGGGUAGGACUUGUCCUUUUUAAAUUUAAUGGAACAAAAACAAAUCAACAUAGUAAACCAUCAACUGUAAACAAAACAAACAAUAGCCAGUGGAGAGUCCAUAUCCAAUUUAUCACAAAGUAAUCCUUAAUGCACAAAUUGAAUGAUGCAUUGCAUAUUUAUC
This is a long non-coding RNA of Rhineura floridana, 2806 nucleotides long. RefSeq lists it as uncharacterized. The record is from RefSeq and is a predicted model, not a curated record. NCBI's taxonomy places the organism in Eukaryota, Metazoa, Chordata, Lepidosauria, Squamata, Rhineuridae. The transcript has 4 exons.